Molecule: long non-coding RNA, 5259 nt
Filed under: Sarcophilus harrisii (Tasmanian devil)
Lineage: Eukaryota; Metazoa; Chordata; Mammalia; Dasyuromorphia; Dasyuridae
Description: lncRNA (ENSSHAG00000029492.1)
Source: RNAcentral
GGGCGGAGGGGCAGGAGGUGCCAGGGAAUGAAAGAGCCUCCUUCCUUAUUGUCCUCUCCCUUAGAGACCGGCUAACAACGCAGGUCCUGGCUACCUGUCCGGGUCUCAGCCCACGGGCCCGAGGAGGCAGCGUGAGGCGGGGGCCCGACCUCCGCGCCGCGGCUCCAGCCUCCUGCGGGCACCAGGGCAGCCAUGAACAGGAUCUUUCCUCAGCCAAGGACCCUGGAUGGAAACCCAGCGGGGGAAAACAAGGCCUUUGAAAGUGAGGAAGAUUGUUGCAGCCCCUUCUCCUGCUGCACCCGCCGAGGUUUCUGGAUCUCCGCCUGGACCUUGACCCUCCUUGGAUCUCUGAGUCUCAUCCUCUGGCUGAUCAACAGCUUUGGACUCCCACCCCCACCCCAAAUGACCAGGGCCUGUGCGACCACGUCCAACCAGACGGGGUUCCUGUGUGACGACCGGAAGACUUGCCUCCCCGCCAGCCUCCUGUGUGACCGCGUCCGGGCCUGUGCCCACGGAGAGGACGAAGAAGAGGCCUUGUGUGGGAACGUCCCCCACAGCCUGCCCAGUUUCUUGGUGUUCCGAUGCGGCGACCUCAGCUCCUGGACCUUCGAGGAUCAGAAGUGCAACGGCUUCAAUGACUGUGGAGACUGCUCUGAUGAAGGCUCCCGGGCCGGCUGCCCGCCCUGUGGCCCUCAGUGGUGGAGCUGCUCCUCCACCUUCUACGAGUACUGCGGCUGCAUCCCUCGGCGCCUCUGCCGGGACCACGUUCAGCACUGCUCGGACUGGUCAGACGAGUACCUCUGCCCCCGGCCCUGAGGAGCCCGGCCGGCCUCGCCUCCAUCACCGCUGGGCCCCCGGCCGCAGGGAACGGAAGGCAGAGGCCAAGACCCCGGGCCGGGGAAGCGGGCAGGCCCCCCCGGCUCCUCCCCAAGGCCCAGACCCACCGGCCCCUCCAUCGGGGGAGCAGCAGCCUGGCUGUCGGGCCCCCUUUCCCUCCUUACCGUGAUGUGGCCAAGUUACAGCCAGGAGCCUCCCUGCUCUUCCAGCCUCCAUCCUCCCAACCCACCAGCCAAGGGAGUGGGCGGGGGCACAGACUGCGGCCUCCAGACGCUAAGCCUGAUCGUCAUGGAUCUGAGGGGGAAUGGAGAGAGCCCCAGGGGCAGGGCCAGGGAAGGACGGGGCUACAUUUGGACUGGACGGCGCUGAGGAUCAGACACCAAAAGGCCCCUCCCCGGUGGGCUGGCGCAGUCUCCGGGAUGGCGCGGGCUCCGGCCUGGUGUGAUUUCCAGCCUGGCGUGGCACAGUCUCCAGCCUGGCAUGGCAGCACGCCGAGGUUUGUGCGGUGACCUUGGCUGAGCCCCCGUGCCUGACCUGAGCUUCCGUUUCAAGGCUGGCCCAGCGGGGUGUGAAGAUUGCCCCUCUCCCAGGACGGGGACACAGGAGCCACCACUUCCCUCUGCCUCUCAGGAAGCCCUUGGGGAGGAGGCCCAGGGCCAUCCCUGUGGCACUUUCAUUGUUCACCUGCCCCGCUCUCCACCUGGAGCUUGGGGGGCGGGGCAAGAUCCCCCUCAUUCCCUUGGUGUUGGUGGAGGCUUCACAUUCUUAAGGAGCUGCUGUGGCAACUUGCCCAGCAACGUCUCCAUGAGGUUCCCGUGGGGUGACAGCUCCUUCCUCCUCCUCUUCUUCCUCCUCCUCCUUCCCUCCACUCAUUCAGUGCCACCCGAGGCUCAGGUGCCAGGAGAACAAAGGGAGCCCCUGGUGCCCUCUGUCAAUAUUUACCACCUCCCAGCAGGGCCCCAGGUCUGGGAUCAGGGCAUUAAAUACACAAAUUUUUGUGUAUUCACAAAAUACACAGCCCCGCACUAUUCAAACAGGAGACAGAAGGCCAAGAGCCCUUGGGGUGGGUGCAGGUCACGCUCAGUGCUCUCCCCUUUAGCCCUUCUGGCUCUGGCGUCUCCCCUGGACUCUUGCCUUCCCCCCUCCCCCACCACCCACUUUGGGCUUGGGCAAGGAGCCUGGAGAGCCAGUGGGGGCAGAGGCUCAGGGAGGCUCAAGGGUGGCCCUUACCUUCUACAGAUGGGAGAAGGGAGGCCUGGGAGGGAGUCCUGGGCCCGGAGCUCAAAGGGUCAGAGAGCCCUGCAGGUCCCAGAGAGCCCAGGCAGUCCCGGAGAUUCCUGGAGGUCCCAGAGCCCAGGUGGUCCCAGAGAGCCCUGGAGGUCCCAGAGCCCAGGCAGUCCUGGAAAGCCCCAAUGGUCCCAGAGCCCUGGAAGUCCCAGAGAGCCCUGGAGGUCCCAGAGCCCAGGUGGUCCCAGAGAGCCCUGGAGGUCCCAGAGCCCAGGCAGUCCUGGAAAGCCCCAGUGGUCCCAGAGCCCUGGAAGUCCCAGAGAGCCCUGGAGGUCCCAGAGAGCCCCAGCGGUCCCGGAGAGCCUUGGCAAUCUGUCAGGCAGGGACGGACACUGUGGCAUGGGCUCCCCCCUGUGCUGUUACUGCUCCCUUGUUCUCAGUCACCUCCCAGGGUCUGGGACCCCGCUUGAGCUGUUCUUGGCAGUAGCUCGCCACUUCCUUCUGCGGCCCCGCGUGUUAGUGGGGUGACCCAACAUUCCCAGCAGCAUUUGGAGCCACAGCAGACUGGCUCAGCCGAGCAAUUGUGGCUGAGGGAGGAGCGGAAGCGUUCGGGGGACCGUGGGACGCAGCCGGAAGACAAAGAAGCACAGGGAGAAGGACUUGAGGAGACCACUGUGCAUCUGAGACCCCAGGAAUGAUGUCAAUGACAUCACAGGUGGCUCCAGUGACAUCACCGGUGACGUCUCGAUUCAUGCAUGAAUUUGGGCUGCACAACGUCAUCGUGACCCCCCCCUUCCCAUGGCUGGACAAGUCAGGACACCAGCGGUGACUCAGGAUGCAAUGGAUUCGGCCACUGAGUAAAUAAAUUGUUCUCCUCCAUCGGUCCCACGAGGGCAGUCUUCAUACACUUGUGGGGCAGGUGCCCCCCAGCUGGUCUAUCUGCUGAGAAGCUUUGCCAGGACAUGGCUGCACAGGCUGCAGCUUCCGGGAGCCACUGACCAAAGAUGGAUGGGCAGCCCUGGGAAGUGCCAGGGGUCCUGCACAGCCCCUCCAUCCCCCUUGUGGGAACUGAGGUGAAGGAAGCCCCCGGGAGUCUACACUCUAACUGCAGCACCGCUAGCUGGAAGAUGGGAUGGAAGACUCGUUCUCUAAGAAAUGACGGACACGAACUGACGUCGAGCGAAACGAGCAGACCCUGGAGAACGCCGUGCCAGGCCACGAGAUUAUGGGGCGACUGAUUUGGUGCUUCUCAGCGACACAGUGAGUGAUCCAAGGUGUCAUCUGCCUCCAAAGAACAAGCCUGAAGGCUGAGCGUGGCUAGUACCUACGCUUUUCACCUUUGGUGGCUGUUUGCUUUUUCUCGUGUUUUUUUCUCUUUCGUUCAUACUAUUGAGGAAAAAACAAAGAAAUCACUAGUUGAGCUCCAACUGAAGGCAAUGCUCACUGUUGGUUCUGCAGGACAGAUAACAGGUACCUCUCUCCUCCGGAGGGUACGGAGGGGGAGAGCAGGAUGGAGUGUGGGUCCAAAAUGUCUGGGGGACAUCUGCCCUCAAAGCUCUCUGAUGUAAAAACAAAAGGCAUAAUUUUUUAAGUUUUAAAUAAGACCUUAGCCAGAAAUAAAAAUCCAAAACUAAGGCCAGUGGUGACAGACACCUGUCUUUCCCAUUAGUCCCAGAACCCGGGAGCGAGGAGCCUUCCAGGUUUGUUUCCACCAGCUGAUGUCUUAAGAAAGGGGGUGCUGGGAUGAAUACAGGUGCUGGAGAGACUGAAAGGAACUGAUGCUGAGGGAAAUGAGCAGGGCCAGGAGAUCAUUAUAUACGUCAACAACGAUACUGUGUGAGGAAGUUUUCUGAUGGAAGCGGAUUUCUUCGACAAAGAGAAGAUCUAGCUCAGUUCCAAUUGAUCAAUGAUGGACAGAAGCAGCUACACCCAGAGAAGGAACACUGGGAAAUGAGUGUGAACUGUUUGCAUUUUUGUUUUUCUUCCCGGAUUAUUUCUACCUUCUGAAUCCAAUUCUUCCUGUGCAACAGGAGAACUGUUUGGUUCUGCACACAUAGAUUGUAUCUAGGAUAUACUGCGACCUAUUUAACAUGUAUAGGACUGCUUGCCAUCUGGGGGAAGGAGGGAGGGAGGGUUAAAGUCGGAACAGAAUUGAGUGCAAGGGACAAUGUUGUAAAAAAUUACCCAGGCAUGGGCUCUGUCAAUAAAAAGUUAUAAUUAUGAAAAAAAAAACCAGAAUAAGGAUAGUAGGUUUUUUUGAAUGAAGAAUUUGUAGCUAUUUGUAGUUUGCAAAGAAUAUUCGGAAUCAUUAUUGAUAGGAAAAAGCAAAUUAAAACAACUUUCAAAUAUCAUUUCAUACUUAUCAUAUUACCUAAAAUUAUAGAAAGAGAAAAUGACCAAUGUUAGCAACCAUAUGAAACAUUAAUGCAUUAGCAUUUUGGAGAGCAAUGUGGAAUAUAUAUCUCAAAGAAUUAUUAAACUUACCUAUGCGCAGUAUUAUUGGUCAGUUUCCUAAUUAGGAGAAAUUUUUAAAAAUUAAAGAACUUGCAUAUUAAUGUUUUUGUAUUAUUAUAUAUUCUUUCUUGAAAUGGAAAUUUAUUGUUACACAUAUGUGCACAUGAGAAUGUUUGGGGUUUUUCCUUGUUCUGUCAUGGUUUCCUUAAUUUUUUUUCUUAUUUUGUAUUUUAUUUUAAAUAAAUAUUUACAAAAAUAUUAUUUAAAAAAAAGAAAGGGGGUGCUGGAGACCAAGUCCUCUGGUUAAUUACUUCUCCUUGUAAAAGAAAUCUCCUUUAAUAUUAUUGUUCUGUAAGAAAUGAUCAGCAGGACGAUUUCAGAGAGUCCUGGAGAAACAGGAACUGAUGCCAAGUGAAGUGAGCAGAAUCAGGAGAUCGUUGUAUACGGCAACGACAAAAUUAUACAACGAUCAAUUCUGACUCUCUUCAACAGUGAGGCGAUUCCAAUGACCUUGUGAUGGAGAGCGCCUUUUGCACCCAGAGAGAGGACUGUGGGAGCUGAGUGUGGAUCACAACCUGGCAUUUUCACUUCUUUUGUUGUUGUUUGCUUGCAUUUUAUUUCUCAUUUUUUCCUUUUUGAUCUGAUUUUUCUUGUGCAGCACAAUAACUGUAUAAACACGUUUUGCCUAUAUUGGAUUUACAUAUAUUUUUAUCAUGUUUAACAUAUAUUGGAUUACUUGCU